UACAGAGGGUGCAAGCGUUAAUCGGAAUUACUGGGCGUAAAGGGCGCGUAGGCGGAUAUUUAAGUUAGAUGUGAAAUCCCUGGGCUUAACCUAGGAACUGCAUCUAAGACUGGAUACCUGGAGUGCGGUAGAGGGUAGUGGAAUUUCCGGUGUAGCGGUGAAAUGCGUAGAUAUCGGAAGGAACACCAGUGGCGAAGGCGGCUACCUGGACUGACACUGACGCUGAGGCGCGAGAGCGUGGGGAGCAAACAGG
This 253-nucleotide ribosomal RNA is filed under the name uncultured bacterium. RNAcentral's name for it is "partial 16S ribosomal RNA". It matches the Rfam family "Bacterial small subunit ribosomal RNA", at positions 524 to 776 of the family's 1533-position model. The record is from RNAcentral.